Molecule: long non-coding RNA, 300 nt
Filed under: Lathyrus oleraceus (garden pea)
Lineage: Eukaryota; Viridiplantae; Streptophyta; Magnoliopsida; Fabales; Fabaceae
Description: Pisum sativum (pea) long non-coding RNA (PSAT_LNC006940)
Source: RNAcentral
UUCUACCACUCAUUUAACCUAAUCAUCAUCUCCUUUCAUCUUCAACCUUCACAUUCUCUCUCUCAAAAUUCCCAAAGCCUUUAUAACCAAAAGUCUUAAAGCUUCAACCUCUAACAUGUUCUCCCCACCAAAACACAAACUCCCUUCACAAACUCCCUUCACCAAAUACAACCCUACACAACAUUCCCUAACCAAAAAUCCCAACCACGCACUUUGAAAAGUUUCUCCAAUUUCUUCAACUUCAACAAUGGCACCCAAGAAGUCUGACAAAGGAAAACAACAAUAAACUACAAGAGUAAA